Octopus sinensis (East Asian common octopus) is the source of this 125-nucleotide long non-coding RNA. RefSeq lists it as uncharacterized. The record is from RefSeq and is a predicted model, not a curated record. The transcript is spliced from 3 exons. NCBI's taxonomy places the organism in Eukaryota, Metazoa, Mollusca, Cephalopoda, Octopoda, Octopodidae.
UGUUGAUGGAAUAGUGUUGGUGGUGAGUCAGUGGGAACCAGCAGUUCCCUCUCAGUCUUCCUUUGUGGAUGGGUGGUGUUUAAUGUAUGUGUGUGAGUAUAUAUACAUGCGUGUGUGUGUGUUUG